UGGGGCGCUGCAGGCGCGAAACCUCUGCAAUAGGCGAAAGCCUGACAGGGUUACUCUGAGUGACUUUCGCUAAGAAAGUCUUUUGGCACCUCUAAAAAGGGUGCAGAAUAAGGGGUGGGCGAGUCUGGUGUCAGCCGCCGCGGUAAUACCAGCACCCCGAGUGGUCGGGACGAUUAUUGGGCCUAAAGCAUCCGUAGCCGGUUCUGCAAGUCCCCCGUUAAAUCCAGCUGCUCAACAGAUGGGCCGCGGAGGAUACUACAGAGCUAGGAGGCAGGAGAGGCAAGCGGUACUCAGUGGGUAGGGGUAAAAUCCGUUGAUCCAUUGAAGACCACCAGUGGCGAAGGCGGCUUGCCAGAAUGCGCUCGACGGUGAGGGAUGAAAGCUGGGGGAGCAAACCGGAUUAGAUACCCGGGUAGUCCCAGCCGUAAACGAUGCAGACUCGGUGAUGGGUUGGCUUCGCGCUAACCCAGUGCCGCAGGGAAGCCGUUAAGUCUGCCGCCUGGGUAGUACGAUCCCAAGACUGAAACUUAAAGGAA
Molecule: ribosomal RNA, 536 nt
Filed under: uncultured bacterium
Lineage: Bacteria
Description: bacterial SSU rRNA
Rfam family: Archaeal small subunit ribosomal RNA
Source: RNAcentral